GCUUUCUGGAGAUCCCAGAGUGCUUUCCGGAGAGGUGGGGGUGCCUGCAGCAGACUGCACCCCCAGGGCCAGCAUCAAAGGUGGCACCCACCAGGGGGGCCCCAAGUCCCUUGCAGGAACUCACAGGUGGCAGCCUCCUCUUCAUACACCAAGGAGAGGCUGCGGGCUCUCAGGACAUCUGGGGCCCCCUGCCCUCCACUUUCCAGGGCUCCCCAGCUCGGCUGAGCUGCGCCGUCCAGUGGAGCCCAUCCUGGGCACCCAGAGGGUGUGCAGCUCACAGACAGCCGUGCCCGCAGCUUCCUGGCCAGCACCUGCUGGGCCGGCUGACAGCAGGCGCCGCACACACCCACCGGCCUGCAGUCUGUGGGAGCGAGCCUCGCUCUGGGCUCAAACAGGACAGUGGGGAGGGUGUGUGUGUGGGGUGCCAUGCCCUGGUGUGCAGCUCCUGGCUGCUGCCAUGACUGUGGGAAUGAGGGGCACUUUUACAGACUUUACAGACCCUUCCUGCUGAUCCUACCAGCGCUGCCAGGCUCAAGGGGCCAGCAGGCCUGGUCAAGGCCCCAUGCCCAAGCUGCCAGGGAGAGGGAGGGGACAGGGGCCGGGCGGUCACACAGGCCCACUCAUGCUCAGGAGGGCCCCACCCUUGGUUUAAUGCUCUGCCCUUGCCGUCUUGAACUUCUUGCUUCUCUCUGAAUAGGAGCUGCACAUUUUAAUGUUGCACUAGGCCCCCAAUUCUGUAGCCAGUCCCGGAAGAGGGGGCCCAGGGGCCCGGCAGGUGAGCCCCUUCCUCCUGAGAUUCUCAGAUUUUAUGCAGAGGCUUCAGACACAGGCUCUCCAUGAUUAGAGAUCCGGGUGCCCCCCCACCCCCACUUCUGCAAACCUCCUUGAGUGCACAGCUGGGCUCAUGGGGGCUCACACACUCACUCGCACCCAUGCGUGCCCACGUGUGCAACAGCAGGUCACACCAAGGCACAAACUUCCUGCUCGGGGGACCUCAAAGUGCCACUCGAGCACACCCAGAAAGCAAAUAGGGCAGCACAAAGCUGGGGAGGGGGCAUCGGGGACAGAGGGAGAGAGCUCCUGCCUCCCCCAGUCUCCCAGGAAAGGAGGUAUCCCCCUCCCUGGCCCAGGAUCCCACUCAAGCCCUUUGCACCUUAUCCCAUUGAAUCCCUGCAGCUGCCCCUGAUGUAGGUAGGGUGUGUAUUAUACCCAUUUCCAGGAUGGAAAAACUGAGGUUCCAAGAAGAGAAGAAGUUGCUUGCUGGAACCAAGGCGGGCAGGCUCAGGAGCUCCAUGCCACGCAGUGGCUCCUGAAAUAGGACAAGCCUCCCUGCCCUCCUCUGUGCCUCUGGCAGGUGUAUCCCCUCUUCCAGGUCCCUGUCUGCAGGGUGCCUGUUCCUCAGGGGGCUGCUCAAGCUGGGUCCUCCCUCCGGGGCUCCACUCCCACCUCACCAUGGGCACAGGUGGAACCAGGGAAGCAGGGGUCAGUUUUUCCCAGGGUUCCCGGGCCGCCCCCACCCUAUAGCCCUUUGGCUGGCCUUGCCCUCGGAACUCACGGACCGGGCCCCAGGAAGGGCUGACGGGUGUGCCUGCUUUGACGGUGUUGGUGUUCUGGAGUCUCCGCGAGGAGCCUGGCCCCGAGGGCCGAGGGCACGCGGCCCAUCACCAGGCGGGCCCCAAGGAGUCGGAUGCUCCUGUCGUCCCUGCUGACGGACGAGGAAGCCAAGGCCCAGAGAAGGAAGGGGAUUCAGGACUCCGGGCUCUUCCUCCAACCCUGUGGGGACCUCAUCAGGCCAAUGCUCAUUGUUCACAAACGCGUUCACAAGCGUGUCCUGAGCUCGGCUCUGGGCCGGGCAUCAUCCCAGGCUUGGGGCAACCACAGUGAACCAGCUAAGAAAUGGCUUGUCCCCAAGAGAAACAUCCUGUCAAGUAAGGUACCCAGAGAAGGUCUCUGUGCAGAUGAUCUUUAAACUGAGGCCCAAAGACAACACAGAGUCAGUCCUGGGAGUAACAGAGGUGGUGUCACAGGCGGAGGAAAUAGCACGUGCAAAGGCCCUGAGGCAGGGAGAAGCAUGAUCAGGCCUGGGCCAGCCAGGAGGCCAGGGUGGUUGGGGCAGAAGGUGCAGUCACAGGUCACGAUCACAGGAGCUUCAAAGGUUCACGUCAGGAGGGGGGUGGGUUUUACCCCCGAGCAGUGGGAAGCUGUGUUUUAAGCAGAGAUCUAAUAUAAUCGCAUGUGCUACCGUGCAUGAGAGUCUGCGCUUGGCUAAGUGCUGUAUGUUCAUUUUUUCAUCUGAUCCCCCCACAUCCCUGUGAGGGGAGUGGAAUCCUUACCCCCAUUUUACAGAUGCAAGUUGAGGCUCUGAGAGCUGAAAUGACUCGCUGUGUCCUUAAUACGGAUGGGAUAGGAAUCCUGCCUUCCGUCUUAGCCGGGGCAGUACAGACCCUCCCACAUGCCCACCCGGCAAAGCAGCAGGGCCCGAGGGGGGGCCGACCCCGCCUCCUUCCACCUGCCAUCCCUCCCGCUGCCCCCUUGCAGAGCCGGGGACCCCGCCUGUUUCCCAGGAAAUCCCCCGGUGGCAGGCACAAUGGGAUGGUCGGUCACCUGUCCUCGGGGGCUCGGGGCCCCACUGGCUGCUUAGACUGGGGCGCAGACAUCCAGGGCCGCCGCGCCCGCACACCUGGCCCCACGCCCACCCCCGCCCAGACCAGGAAGGGGCCGCAGAGAGGAAAGCAAAUAGCAACCGGUGUGUUCGCAGGCCUCGGCCUCCCACCGGCGCCAGGGCAACACCACCUGCUCUCAGACAGCGGGCGGCAGGAGGACAAAAGCAGGGCUGGGGCUGCGGGCCAGGGACGCGGAGCGCGGGAGCAGGCCCGGGAACCGGCCUAGCAGGGCGGGCUGGUCCCGAGUCAAGGAGGCCUGCCUUGAACCCAGAGGUUCUGUGACCUCGAGCGUCUUCUGGGCCUCAGUCGGCCUGUUUAUUAAAUGGGA
Canis lupus familiaris (dog) is the source of this 2991-nucleotide long non-coding RNA. RefSeq lists it as uncharacterized. The record is from RefSeq and is a predicted model, not a curated record. The transcript is spliced from 3 exons. NCBI's taxonomy places the organism in Eukaryota, Metazoa, Chordata, Mammalia, Carnivora, Canidae.